This 423-nucleotide unclassified non-coding RNA is filed under the name Hevea brasiliensis (rubber tree). The record is from RNAcentral. Lineage: Eukaryota; Viridiplantae; Streptophyta; Magnoliopsida; Malpighiales; Euphorbiaceae.
UUUUAAAAAAAAAAAAUCAUUUCCUUCCUAUUCUGAGCAGUCAGUCCAUCUUUUUUUUAUAUCUCUUCCCAUCUACAGGCUAGCUAGAUCUUCGUUUUGAUUAACAACAGAAAAAUAAACCUGCCCAUCAUCAUUUUAUAUUUCUGCUGUUGCUUGCACUUGUACCACCCAAAUACCAGAAGAAAUGCAUUCUAUGAGAGUGUCUUCCAAUAAUCAUUCAAGAACUUGUUCUAUUAUUCCUUUUAAGCAAAAUAACCAGCAACUUCUGCCUUCAGCUAACUGCCUCAGCAGUUGAACUUCUUCAACUAUGUGCUCCAAGACACUUCAUGACCACAUUAACAAAACCCUCUCUCCCCCAAAUAUUUAAUUUCUGAUCUUUGCAUUUUCUUCACAUCCAAAACGAACUAUUCACUCUAAAUGCUA